AAAUUGAAGAGUUUGAUCAUGGCUCAGAUUGAACGCUGGCGGCAGGCCUAACACAUGCAAGUCGAACGGUAACAGAAAUCAGCUUGCUGAUUUGCUGACGAGUGGCGGACGGGCGAGUAAUGUCUGGGAAACUGCCUGAUGGAGGGGGGUAACUACUGGAAACGGUAGCUAAUACCGCAUAACGUCGCAAGACCAAAGAGGGGGACCUUCGGGCC
RNAcentral lists this ribosomal RNA (215 nucleotides) under Escherichia coli. RNAcentral's name for it is "partial 16S ribosomal RNA". It matches the Rfam family "Bacterial small subunit ribosomal RNA", at positions 1 to 215 of the family's 1533-position model. Lineage: Bacteria; Pseudomonadati; Pseudomonadota; Gammaproteobacteria; Enterobacterales; Enterobacteriaceae. The record is from RNAcentral.